GACGAACGCUGGCGGCGUGCCUAAUACAUGCAAGUCGAACGCACUCUCGUUUAGAUUGAAGGAGCUUGCUCCUGAUUGAUAAACAUUUGAGUGAGUGGCGGACGGGUGAGUAACACGUGGGUAACCUGCCCUAAAGUGGGGGAUAACAUUUGGAAACAGAUGCUAAUACCGCAUAAAACCUAACACCGCAUGGUGUAGGGUUGAAAGAUGGUUUCGGCUAUCACUUUAGGAUGGACCCGCGGUGCAUUAGUUAGUUGGUGAGGUAAAGGCUCACCAAGACCGUGAUGCAUAGCCGACCUGAGAGGGUAAUCGGCCACACUGGGACUGAGACACGGCCCAGACUCCUACGGGAGGCAGCAGUAGGGAAUCUUCCACAAUGGACGAAAGUCUGAUGGAGCAACGCCGCGUGAGUGAAGAAGUUUUCGGAUCGUAAAACUCUGUUGUUGGAGAAGAAUGUAUCCGAUAGUAACUGAUCAGGUAGU
RNAcentral lists this ribosomal RNA (482 nucleotides) under uncultured bacterium. RNAcentral describes it as "bacterial SSU rRNA". It matches the Rfam family "Bacterial small subunit ribosomal RNA", at positions 28 to 491 of the family's 1533-position model. The record is from RNAcentral.